GUAAGAUUUCCGCUUAUGAUUUUCUUUUGGGGUCCUUUCUGCACUCACCCUUCCAGACUUAGCAACUUUCAACCAAGCUCUCUGUUAGACUUACAAAGACAUGAUAGACACCACUAGACAGCCACAGCCUAACCCUUUAAACAUGUUCUUCGGAGGUUGUCUGAGGAUGGUAGAGUAGAGCAUACAAGUACCUGCACCGCCGUUCCCAUUGCUUCCAGUUAAAAACCAUGCAGAGAAUUUCAUUCCAUAAUUGCUAUGUGACCUGAAAUUCACAUACCCCCAGUGUAUGAAACAACUUUAAUUAAAAUGUAAAUGAUGAGAUUAGAUUGAAAAACAAAAAUAAGGUGAUGGUGUACACCUUGAAUCCCAGCACUCGGGAGGCAAAGGCAGGCAGAGCUCUUGAGUUCAAGGCCAGUCUGGUCUACAGAGCUAGUAGUUCCAGGAGACCCAGGGCUGCAAAGAGAAAUUCUGUCUUGGAACACCAAAAAGCAAACCAAACCAAAACAAAAAAACAAGAUAAGAUAAAAACCAAGCCUGGUUGCACAUGGGGAUAGUCCUAGCACUUGGGAGGCUGCUGUAAGACUCAAAUUCGUGGCCGCCCUGGGCUUCCUAGCUAGACUUUGUCAAAGAGAAGAAGGAACUAAGAGGUCCGGCUCUGAGGAUUAUGAGAUGGGAGCGUGCAUUAUGAAAGAGUAGCACAUAUGUCCAGGAUUAGGGCUGGAAGGCAUAGCUCCCUCCGUAGUAGAACACUUGCCUGACAUGCAUGAGAGUCUUUGUACCGUUUUGUGCAUGCUGGAAGGCAGAGGCGGGCAGAUCUCUAAGUCUCAUCAUUGCAGAUGGAGGCCAGCCAGGGCUAUAUUGUGAGACCUGAUCUUAAAAAAGAAUAAUAAGCUACAGAUUUAGGGCUUCUAAGUCGGUGUUUAUUGACUCUGAUAACUGCAUUCUUCAUGUGUUGGUUAAGACACACUCUUCCAGUAUCCUCCCACCUUGAGCCCUCAGCAGACUUCUUUUUCUUUUUUUUUUUUUAAGAUUAAUUUAUUAUUAUAUCUAAGUACACUGUAGCUGUCUUCAGACACACCAGAAGAGGGUGUGUCUCAUCUCAUUACGGAUGGUUGUGAGCCACCAUGUGGUUGCUGGAAUUUGAACUCAGGACCUUCAGAAGAGCAGUCGGUGCUCUUAACCACUGAGCCAUCUCUCCAGCCCCUCAGCAGACUUCUUAUUCGUCUCGCUGACUCUUUGCCAAUACUUGGCGUAUGCCAGCUUGUAGUCCUAGCCCUGGAAUGCUGAGGGGGGAUUGUGAGUUCAAGCUUGGACUGUAGAGUAAGACUCUUUAUCAAACAAAAAGGAGUUGCUUUAAAGUUCUGUUUUCAGUCAGUUUUCUGGGCUUGGGUUGUGUAUGGAAAUCUGGGGUUAGGAUGCCCCACAGUGAGCACAUGACAAGGCAGGGUUAGUGAGGCUGGGCGCUGGCCCGGGUUUCUCUCCCCGCUGCUCAGCCUCCCUCUGGGAUCAUCUGUGCUCAGCUUGUUUAUUUCUCUAUAGCUUGGUGUGGGUCUCUUCCUCUGGAGAGCCAGGUUUAUGACAGAAAGGAAAAGGCAUUACCAGGCAAUAGGACUCUGUGGUGUACUGUCAGGAACAGUGAAUGGUAACUUCUGAAGAGCAUGUCGUCCCUAACACUGUCUCUACCAUGCACUGGCUAAUUAGUCUAAUUGAGGCUAAUAAACAUUGUCAUCUCUAGUUUAUAGAAUAGGAUCCUCGUAGGAGGGAGCAUUUGACUUAAGUUACUUGAGUAAGUUCAAAUAGCUAGUAAGUAGUAAGACCAGAAUUGGGAUCUGUAGUGUGGACAUAUUUUCAAAUUUUAUACUUUAUAAUUUCAUUAAUUUUUAGAUAUUAAGAUUCAUUUUAUUUUUAAAAUCAUUAUAUGUAUGUGGGUAUGUGCAUGUGAGUGCCAUGCCCACAGAGGCCAGAAAAAGGUGUUGGAUCUGUUGAAGUUAGAGUUGCAAGCCAUUGUGCGUGGUCUAGCACGGGUGCUGGCAUCUGCACCCCUUUAGCCUGUCAGCUGUCAAUUUUCAGGCUACUGCAGUGCCAGAUACUGCUAGUUCUCCAAAGACAUCCUAUUUGACACACAAGGACUAAGUUUCAAAUAGUUUGAAAUCAUCAUGAUAAGCCUGGCAUUUGAAUUUAGAUCUUUCUAACUUUAAAAUAUAAAUUACAUCUGUAACCCCAGCACUUAAAAGACUGAGCCAAGAGGCUGGAGAGAUAGCUCAGAGGUUAUGAGCACUGGCUGCUCUUCCAACAACCUUUAAAAAAAAAAAAGAAAAAAAGAAAAGAGGAUGAGGCAAGAUCACAAAUUGUAAGCUGGUCUGGAUUAUAAAGCAAGUUCCAGAUUAGCCUGAACUACAGAGUAAAAUACUGUCUC
RNAcentral lists this long non-coding RNA (2416 nucleotides) under Mus musculus (house mouse). RNAcentral's name for it is "long non-coding RNA chr10:128475064-128477480". The record is from RNAcentral. Lineage: Eukaryota; Metazoa; Chordata; Mammalia; Rodentia; Muridae.